This 170-nucleotide unclassified non-coding RNA is filed under the name uncultured fungus. Its description in RNAcentral is "sequence contains ITS1". Lineage: Eukaryota; Fungi. The record is from RNAcentral.
UUAACUAUUAUAUAGUACUCAGACAGUAAUAAAUUCAAGAGUUUGGUCCUCUCCGGGGGUUUAAGCCCGGAAAGCAACAUAGUAUAUAGUCACGGGUGGGAGAGCGGUACUUUCUUUCGAUUUCCCGCAAAUACUCCUUAAUGAUCCUUCCGCAGGUUCACCUACGGAAA